ACGGCCAUACCAUGCUGAAUAUACCAGUUCACGUUAGAUCACCGAAGUCAAGCAUCAUUGGGCGAGAUCAGUACUUGGGUGGGUGACCACCUGGGAACACCGCGUGCCGUUG
RNAcentral lists this ribosomal RNA (112 nucleotides) under Caerostris extrusa. Lineage: Eukaryota; Metazoa; Arthropoda; Arachnida; Araneae; Araneidae. The record is from RNAcentral.